AGUGAUGUUACAUACAUAAGAUUAGAGAUCUACACAUAUAUCAUGGAUUCUGAAGUUCAAUAUUACAGUAUCUUUAGUUAGUAAUGUUGGAAUUUGUGUAAAUCUUGUUAACAUGACUUGAAGCAAUUCCAACUUUGAAGCAAGAAAUGUUCAUCAUAAGUAUGAGCAGGAUAAAGAUAGACAUACCAAGCGUAGCCAUAACAGCUGCAAAAAUGAUAAUGCCUACUGGUUGCACCCUCAACUUUCCAAU
This is a long non-coding RNA of Telopea speciosissima, 250 nucleotides long. RefSeq lists it as uncharacterized. The record is from RefSeq and is a predicted model, not a curated record. Lineage: Eukaryota; Viridiplantae; Streptophyta; Magnoliopsida; Proteales; Proteaceae. The transcript has 2 exons.